Molecule: ribosomal RNA, 484 nt
Filed under: uncultured bacterium
Lineage: Bacteria
Description: partial 16S ribosomal RNA
Rfam family: Bacterial small subunit ribosomal RNA
Source: RNAcentral
AGUGAACGCUGGCGGCGUGCUUAACACAUGCAAGUCGAACGAGAACGGAUUAUAGCUUGCUAUAAUUGUCAGCUAAGUGGCGCACGGGUGAGUAAUGUAUAGGUAAUAUGCCUCUUACUAAGGGAUAACAAAUGGAAACGUUUGCUAAUACCUUAUACUCCUUAUUAACAGAAGUUAAUAAGGGAAAGAUUUAUUGGUAAGAGAUUAGCCUGUAUUGUAUCAGUUAGUUGGUGGGGUAAUGGCCUACCAAGACUAUGACACAUAACUGGUUUGAGAGGAUGAUCAGUCACACUGGAACUGAGACACGGUCCAGACUCCUACGGGAGGCAGCAGUGGGGAAUAUUGCACAAUGGACGAAAGUCUGAUGCAGCAACGCCGCGUGGAGGAUGACGCAUUUCGGUGCGUAAACUCCUUUUAUAUGAGAAGAUAAUGACGGUAUUAUAUGAAUAAGCACCGGCUAACUCCGUGCCAGCCGCCGCAGUAA